Molecule: ribosomal RNA, 253 nt
Filed under: uncultured bacterium
Lineage: Bacteria
Description: partial 16S ribosomal RNA
Rfam family: Bacterial small subunit ribosomal RNA
Source: RNAcentral
GACGAACCGUGCGAACGUUGUUCGGAAUCACUGGGCUUAAAGGGCGCGUAGGCGGGCGGCCAAGUCAGGGGUGAAAGCCCCCAGCUCAACUGGGGAAGUGCCUUUGAUACUGGUCGUCUCGAGGGAGGUAGGGGCGUGCGGAACUUCCGGUGGAGCGGUGAAACGCGUAGAUAUCGGAAAGAACACCAACGGCGAAAGCACUCUGCUGGGCCGACACUGACACUGAGAGACGAAAGCUAGGGGAGCGAAUGGG